ACGGAGGGCGCGAGCGUUAAUCGGAAUCACUGGGCGUAAAGCGUGCGUAGGCUGUUUGAUAAGUCAGGCGUGAAAUCCCUCGGCUCAACCGGGGAACUGCGCUUGAUACUGUCGAACUCGAGUCCUGGAGAGGGUGGCGGAAUUCCUGGUGUAGGAGUGAAAUCCGUAGAUAUCAGGAGGAACACCGGUGGCGAAGGCGGCCACCUGGACAGGUACUGACGCUGAGGCACGAAAGCGUGGGGAGCAAACAG
This 251-nucleotide ribosomal RNA is filed under the name uncultured prokaryote. RNAcentral's name for it is "partial 16S ribosomal RNA". It matches the Rfam family "Bacterial small subunit ribosomal RNA", at positions 525 to 775 of the family's 1533-position model. The record is from RNAcentral.